Molecule: long non-coding RNA, 505 nt
Filed under: Oryza brachyantha (malo sina)
Lineage: Eukaryota; Viridiplantae; Streptophyta; Magnoliopsida; Poales; Poaceae
Description: long non-coding RNA (OBRA_LNC000322)
Source: RNAcentral
UAGGACAGGAACACGUAUACUUAAUUACCGAUUAAUCUUUAUAUAACUAUUUAAGAAGCGAGUAGGAUAACAUACCAUAAGCCCGACCAUAAAUUGAGAUGGGGUAAAUUAAGCAAGAAGAGAGAAGUUUUCUUGACUUAGAAAUAUGAUCCUGAAAGGCCGUGUCCCAAAUAUAUAAUAGAUAUAAUACUAGCUUAAUCUAAUGUAGUACCACAGUUGUAUUCUUCCCAUCUUAUUUUUUUUCUCAUUUUUGCUCCCAUUUUUACGCGCACGUUUUUCUAAUUAUACAUAAUUUUGCAAAAAGUUUCUAUACAGGAAUCUAUUAUUGUAUCUUUGUAAAGUGAACUUUUAACUUUAUAGUCGUUAAUUAUAUCGUUUAUACUAUUAAAUAGAUAUCAUAAAAACAAAUAAUAUUUUAUAUCUUAUGGUAAAAAUAUUUUUUCCAUGUGCGUGAAAUGGAGAGGCAAUUGCUCAGGCAGAAGAGCCAAAAAUGGAGGAGGAUGUG